GCCGGAGGAGCCGCCUGAGCACGCCUGGCCGGACUUCCCCAAGGAGCUGCUGGACCUGCCACCAAGCCCUGGUCAAGAGGAGCCCAUGCUGGUUGACUGGCCUGGAACCGGUGCCAUGGAUGAGGCCUCCAGGCUGCUUGCAAUGAAGACCCUGGACAUCUGCAGGAGGAGGAGGAGGAAGGGAAAAGUGCCAGCACUAAGGCCAAGAUACACAAAUGGACUUAGGCACCUCUACAAUCCACAAAACCACUGCUCGGCUGCCACCUAACCCUGUUCACAAGAUGGUCCUGGAUUCUGAGGGCAAGGACCAUCCCUUUCUAUUUCCACUGACAGACCUACC
Molecule: long non-coding RNA, 340 nt
Organism: Mauremys reevesii (Reeves's turtle)
Lineage: Eukaryota; Metazoa; Chordata; Testudines; Geoemydidae
Exons: 3
Source: RefSeq, a predicted model, not a curated record